This 253-nucleotide ribosomal RNA is filed under the name uncultured bacterium. RNAcentral describes it as "partial 16S ribosomal RNA". It matches the Rfam family "Bacterial small subunit ribosomal RNA", at positions 524 to 776 of the family's 1533-position model. The record is from RNAcentral.
UACGAAGGGGGCUAGCGUUGCUCGGAAUUACUGGGCGUAAAGGGAGCGUAGGCGGACAUUUAAGUCAGGGGUGAAAUCCCAGAGCUCAACUCUGGAACUGCCUUUGAUACUGGGUGUCUUGAGUGUGAUAGAGGUAUGUGGAACUCCGAGUGUAGAGGUGAAAUUCGUAGAUAUUCGGAAGAACACCAGUGGCGAAGGCGACAUACUGGCUCAUUACUGACGCUGAGGCGCGAAAGCGUGGGGAGCGAACAGG